GAGUUUGAUUAUGGCUCAGAGUGAACGCUGGCGGCGUGCCUAAUACAUGCAAGUCGAACGGAGAUUAAGUAGCUUGCUAUUUAAUCUUAGUGGCGCACGGGUGAGUAAUAUAUAGCUAAUCUGCCCUACACUAGAGGACAACAGUUGGAAACGACUGCUAAUACUCUAUACUCCUUCUAAGCAUAAGCUUAGUCGGGAAAGUUAAUAAAAUUUGCUUUUUGGUUUCAUCUUGAGAGAUAUGGACGUAUAACAACUAAAUUGAUACGCCGAUGUGGCAAACAUCGGUGUGCUUUAGGUGGGUCAAGGGAGCGCUUGCGCUUCUUGUCGCAAAGAAAGGCUUUGCCUUUCUGCGAAGUCCGUAUUUGUCAAGAUGAAAUCUUGCAAAUGUAUUUUUUCGGUGUAGGAUGAGGCUAUAUCGUAUCAGCUAGUUGGUGAGGUAAUGGCUCACCAAGGCUAUGACGCGUAACUGGUCUGAGAGGAUGAUCAGUCACACUGGAACUGAGACACGGUCCAGACUCCUACGGGAGGCAGCAGUAGGGAAUAUUGCUCAAUGGGGGAAACCCUGAAGCAGCAACGCCGCGUGGAGGAUGACACUUUUCGGAGCGUAAACUCCUUUUCUUGGGAAAGAAUUAUGACG
Molecule: ribosomal RNA, 637 nt
Filed under: Campylobacter rectus
Lineage: Bacteria; Pseudomonadati; Campylobacterota; Epsilonproteobacteria; Campylobacterales; Campylobacteraceae
Description: bacterial SSU rRNA
Rfam family: Bacterial small subunit ribosomal RNA
Source: RNAcentral